Molecule: long non-coding RNA, 989 nt
Filed under: Homo sapiens (human)
Lineage: Eukaryota; Metazoa; Chordata; Mammalia; Primates; Hominidae
Description: HSALNT0207008
Source: RNAcentral
UCGUGUUUGAAGAGAGUCACCGUCCUGCCAUGGGAAACACUUGCAUCGUCUUCCAACCUUGACAGGAUUACGCGCGCUCCUGGACCGCAUCCAAAUAGAACUCUCCCUUAUGCCCAGGGCUCGAUGUGGCGACCGGCUGUGGGGGUCACGGACCCCUGCUUUUCUGGGGUGUGGCUGUAGUUGUAGUAUAAACGGUCGUGCUUAUUUUCUAUACACUGACCUCACGCUCUUCACGUUCCUGCUGACCUCACAAUGGUCUGUGAAGGUUCUACCCUGUUUACCACGCCCUUUCCCAGUGAUACGAAUAUUUCCAGGCUCCUACAUGAAGUAAUUACACUGCUAUGAACACAUUUUUGCACAGAAUAUAGGUAAAGCAUGAACGGGCAUUUUAACAGAAGAAUCACAGUACCGCUCACUUCUAAGGCAGUAUUUGUUUCAGGCUUUGCGACCAAUCAGCAGUUUUCACACCCAGUCCUGGAUUCGGUCUCUGCUAUUUUACACCCAGGCAAGGGCACUGAGGACAGCACUUGCAAGCCUCUCUUAGGUAAAUUCACCUGGAGAAGAAAACAGCUUUUAUUUGUAAAACAUUUGGCUUUCCAACAAGCCUUGUCUAUCAUGGCAUCCUGAUGAUGCAUACAAACAAGAGCUCACUGGACUGGCUUAAUCUUCCAGUGCCUGCUGCUUUCUCCUGAGUAGGUUUUCUGGGCCGUGGAAUCCUUCAGGCUCGUGUGUCCUCCACUGGCAUUUGCUCCUGAGCGAGCACACGCUUAAUGUGAAGCCCAUGGCUACACCCCAGGGCAUCCAAGUGCCCUCUGAAAUGUUCUGUGUUGGAGGAGAGUUUCCUUAGCUUCCACCAGAUUCUCAAGAGGCUUUUUAGCCCCAAGACCAUUAAGAAAGAGUGUUAUCCUGUUUUGGACCUUCUUGUUCGUGCUCUUUCUGGAAACAAAAUGGUGCGAGAGCCUUUCCUACUUAGCCCUGGGGAAGUUCUG